Molecule: non-coding RNA, 108 nt
Organism: Chiloscyllium plagiosum (whitespotted bambooshark)
Lineage: Eukaryota; Metazoa; Chordata; Chondrichthyes; Orectolobiformes; Hemiscylliidae
Source: RefSeq, a predicted model, not a curated record
AAAAGCUGCAAACAUUCAUAUAGAACUCUGAGCGCAAAAGCUGCAUGAAUUUAUGUAAAACUCUGUUAUCUCACUUUUUAGAUUAGAAUCAAUCUAAACAUCAGGUCA